AUUGAACGCUGGCGGCAUGCCUUACACAUGCAAGUCGAACGGCAGCGCGGGAGCAAUCCUGGCGGCGAGUGGCGAACGGGUGAGUAAUACAUCGGAACGUGCCCAAUCGUGGGGGAUAACGCAGCGAAAGCUGUGCUAAUACCGCAUACGAUCUACGGAUGAAAGCAGGGGAUCGCAAGACCUUGCGCGAAUGGAGCGGCCGAUGGCAGAUUAGGUAGUUGGUGAGGUAAAGGCUCACCAAGCCUUCGAUCUGUAGCUGGUCUGAGAGGACGACCAGCCACACUGGGACGGAGACACGGCCCAGACUCCUACGGGAGGCAGCAGGGGGGAAUUUUGGAAAAGGGGCGAAAGCCUGAUCCAGCCAGGCCGGGUGCAGGAUGAAGGCCUUCGGUUUGUAAACUGCUUUUGUACGGAACGAAACGGUUUUUUCUAAAAAAGAAGGCUAAUGACGGUACCGAAAGAAAAAGCACCGGCGAACUACGU
Molecule: ribosomal RNA, 483 nt
Filed under: uncultured bacterium
Lineage: Bacteria
Description: partial 16S ribosomal RNA
Rfam family: Bacterial small subunit ribosomal RNA
Source: RNAcentral